GCUGUGAGUGUUUAUAGUGCUGUGAGUUGAACACUUCAUCACUGACACACACACAAUCUUCAUCAUCAUGACCUUCAUCAUCAUCUUCAUCUGGACUCUGUCAUACAGCUUCACACUACAAGGAUGUGCAGCUCAGAUCACAGUGACCCAAAGUCCAGUGGAAACAGUUAAACCUGGAGAAAAUGUUCAGAUGAGCUGCAAACUCAGCACUAGUAGUUAUUCAGGCUGUAACCCACCCUGUGUGUCCUGGUACGUACAGAAACCUGGAGAAGCUCCUAAACUCCUGAUUUACAGAACAAGCAGCCGUCAGUCAGGAACUGCAUCUAGAUUCAGUGGCAGUGGAUCUAAUGUGGAUUUCACUCUGAGCAUCAGUGGAGUCCAGACUGAAGAUGCUGGACAUUAUUACUGUCAGAGUUUACACAGCAUCAACAGUAAAGAUGUGUUAACACAGUGA
Molecule: non-coding RNA, 454 nt
Organism: Danio aesculapii
Lineage: Eukaryota; Metazoa; Chordata; Actinopteri; Cypriniformes; Danionidae
Source: the annotation of a RefSeq genome assembly